UUAGGAGGGCCAACCGUCACACCAAAAUAAAACAUGCGCUAAUGGAAGCCGAUUGCAAAGCAGGAUCACAGAAGAACUGCAGCUUCCUGGGGAGCAGUUUCACCUCCACAGGCAUCGCUUCAUACUCCUCACUGUCAAUGCUAAAAGAGCCCCCUGCUCCCUGGGGAGAAGAGAAUAUUCAGAACAGCUCAAACACAUCAGUGGCCUACUGGAGUUGGAGGUCUCACAGCAGCACCAGAAGAAGUUCAUUAUGGAAAACAACAUCCUCUCUUGAGGAGCUAUCCUAAUGUUCUUUUACAAAAAAAAAUUCAGUGCCUACUACGAUGGGCACAGUGCUGGUUCUGGAAACAUCCUAAUUCUACCAUCCAUGAAAAAGGAUUUAUUUUCUUUUUUUGGCCCCUAUCUCCUCCCAGAGUAUUUUGGGAUUUGAACAACAUGGUUAUAAUUUUCAAAUAUGUAUUAAAAGGCAAGGGUCCUGCCAUGUCUUAAGGAACUCAUAUACAUAGUCUUUCUAUAUUAUGCUAAUCCUUCUCAAAUAAAAAUAAAGACAGCUAAUUCUCUUAUGA
Molecule: long non-coding RNA, 566 nt
Filed under: Homo sapiens (human)
Lineage: Eukaryota; Metazoa; Chordata; Mammalia; Primates; Hominidae
Description: HSALNT0129937
Source: RNAcentral